This 613-nucleotide long non-coding RNA is filed under the name Mus musculus (house mouse). RNAcentral describes it as "predicted gene, 47705". Lineage: Eukaryota; Metazoa; Chordata; Mammalia; Rodentia; Muridae. The record is from RNAcentral.
GUUUAGGGUUAUCGUUGGCAACAGAGAGAGUUCCGUUCCAGCCUGGGCUAUGUGAGGCCCUGUCUUAACAAUAGAAACAGCGGGUGAGUGAAUUCUGGAUUGCUGUUAACCUGCAAGAGCCUGACUACCGCUUUCCAAGUGUUACUGAAGAGAUGAAGAAGUGAAUCCACACAUACACAAAGGUCUUUUCUCAACCCUGUAUUGUUUGAGGUCCAAUUUUCUUCACAUGCUGCAGGACCAUCUGCUACCGGCCCCAGCCCAGAUGAUACAGUUGGAGCCUACCCACAGCAUCCUCUCCCGCCUUCAGACGGUUCCAGGAACGAGAGUGAGUCAGACUCAGCUGAAGCACGUCUUGCUAACCCAAGCAAUAGCCCAGGGGCCCAGCAUAGGGGACCACCUGCUCCCAGGGCAGGUGUUCCCUGCAACCUCUCCACACAGGGAAGGAAUCUCACCCUGAGCUUCAUGGGGCACUCAGACCCGCCUUCCAGAUGUGCCCCUUCCCUUUCCAAGGGACUGCAGCCAGCCACAAGUUCAAGCGCAGCUGCUACAGCUCCUGGCCCUGGCAGCUUGUCACAAAGCGCGUCACACAGUGAAGCUGGUGGCUCACAGCUCG